GUUCGAUAAAUGUCCCCCCGGUAGAACCUUCCCUCAGGGCCAUGGCCACUCCGGGUGUGGCCAAUAUCCUACCAGUUUGGUCCCAACCCCAUUGCCUUAAAUUAUUCUGGUUUUCGAGUGACCGAUCUAACAAUCUUCGUUAGAACAGAAUUCCUCCCAAGUUGGUGCACAACCUGUGUCUUUCAAUGUGUGCAUGUGUGUGUGAGCAAUAAAAUUACCACCGUCGAUCCGUCUCUGACGGAUUUUCGAAUAAAACUAAAAUUGUUCAGAGGCUAUCUGUUAGCUUAUAUAGUUAGCAUGAAAUGUGGCAUCUUUUGCUCACACAACUACCAAUAAGCGAUGUUACAAAUACUCGUUCACCGAUGACGUCAUCGAUGAUCAUCAGUAAACUAACACCACCAAAGCUCACCAAUACAUUGGCAUUAAUAUUGCCUUCACGUUUCACCUUAAAUUUCUUUGAGAAUGAACAGGAACGAUGGUUUCAGUACGCCACGAUCGAGGAUGUGAUCAAGGUACGGAUGGCGAUGGGUCCCGGUGAUAUCGCUGGGCCUUCCAACAACGCGACGGUCAACACGUCCGGCAUCGACAAGGCGAUGGCCAUGUACGCCGAGAUUCGACCAAAUCAGUACUGCAAGUUCCGGAUAAGGAAGAUAGCACGGAAAUUGAGAAUUGAAGCAGCGAAAUGAAUCACCGUUAGUUGUUGUUGUUCCGGAGUUCCUACUGCAGGUUCCAAUCUAGGCUAGCCGGAGCUAGCCAAAGUGGCUCGCUUUGGCUGCUGACGCUGAAUGGACUCAGUAUUGAUUAUGCUAAUCCGUCAAGUCAUUGCAAAAGAAAAAAUGCAUGCCGUCUUCAAGAUCUACAACCAUAGAGAGCGGGCAGAUUCUGGUCCCGGUGCAGAAUAAGGCUAUGCAGAUGUCCAAGAAAAGCAAGAUAACACGCACCACGCCGACAGAACACGGCCUGUUACACUCGUUCAUGCGGGGAUGCACGAGCCGGAGUAUAGCGAUGAGGCUCCAUACGAAUCGGUUAAGUAUGAGAAGAUUCAGGUCGAAGGCAUCUAAUCGGCGCCGUACGAGAACUGCUUUUACCGGGCUGUGGUGCUGGAAAAGACCGUCCCAUCGAAGAUCUCGCUCAAGGUUCGCCUGAUCGAUUAUGGCAACAAGUUGGUUAAUGCGUCAACGGAGUAGCGACCACCGCUGCAGUUGAUAAAAAUCUUAGAAGAAUCUGCGCGAGUUUCAGGUGAAGAUCGUCGAUUCGCCAUCCGCUCGAAGCUUGGCUCGAAGUCAACGAGCGUAUCCGGAUUCGGAUGAAGAACCCUGCGGGAUUGUUAACCAUGAGCUGGCGGAAAUCAUUCAGCCACCGGUGACGCCGAUCCUGCUGGACGUACAGAGUGAUGUGGCUGACAGGGUUCAUCUGCAACCGGCCGGACUACCCUAUGAAGAUCAAAUCCGCGACCUGGAUCCGACCGCCGUUGAAAAUCCCGGACUGAUCAUCGAGCAGCUGCAAGAGGUCUCCUGAAGCAACUAUUUGAGAGCAAGACAUAUUCGACGCUGUCAAGCUGAUCGACCUGAACAUGAAUCGCUCGCUGGGUGCCCUGCUGCUGGAGAACCACGACAAGAAGCCCAACGUGGCGGCCAGAGCGAAAGAAAGACGCUACACGGAAGAAGCUGAUGGCAAGGGAUCCGAAGUGUCGACCGGUGCCGCCAAGAAUGAAGUUUUAAACCGCCUCGAGGGAUAGUUUUCUAGAAACAACAAAUAAAAGUAAGGGGACUCGGGUUGG
This is a long non-coding RNA of Culex quinquefasciatus (southern house mosquito), 1780 nucleotides long. RefSeq lists it as uncharacterized. The transcript has 3 exons. The record is from RefSeq and is a predicted model, not a curated record. NCBI's taxonomy places the organism in Eukaryota, Metazoa, Arthropoda, Insecta, Diptera, Culicidae.